AAGAAGAAGAGCUACAGUGCCGUCAAAACGGCACCGUUUUGGGCUUCUGUUUUUUUUUUUUUUUUUUUUUUUUUUUUUUUUUUUUUUUUUUUUUUUUUUUUUUUUUUUUUUUAGCAACAGUGAAUGAAACGGCGCCGUUUUGGUCAAAACGCGCCGUUUCAUUUAAAAGGAAAAGGCGCCAAAAGCAUCAGAUUCAAAUUUCGGCCCUCC
Molecule: long non-coding RNA, 210 nt
Filed under: Populus tremula
Lineage: Eukaryota; Viridiplantae; Streptophyta; Magnoliopsida; Malpighiales; Salicaceae
Description: long non-coding RNA (PTRE_LNC003076)
Source: RNAcentral